This 488-nucleotide ribosomal RNA is filed under the name uncultured bacterium. RNAcentral's name for it is "partial 16S ribosomal RNA". It matches the Rfam family "Bacterial small subunit ribosomal RNA", at positions 28 to 507 of the family's 1533-position model. The record is from RNAcentral.
GACGAACGCUGGCGGCGUGCUUAACACAUGCAAGUCGAACGGAAAGGCCCUGCUUUUGUUGGGUGCUCGAUUGGCGAACGGGUGAGUAACACGUGAGUAACCUGCCCUUGACUUUGGGAUAACUUCAGGAAACUGGGGCUAAUAUCGGAUAGGAGCUCCUGCUGCAUGGUGGGGGUUGGAAAGUUUCGGCGUUUGGGGCUGGACUAGCGGCUUAUCAGCUUGUUGGUGGGGUAGUGGGUUACCAAGGGUAUGACGGGUAGCCGACGGGGGAGGGUGACCGGCCACAUGGGAACUGGGACAGGGUCCAUACGCCUGAGGGAGGCAGCAGUAGGGAAUAGUCCGCAAUGGGCGAAAGCCUGACGGAGCCACGCCGAGUGAGUGGUGGAGGUCUUGGGAGCGUAAAACUCGGUUAUGAGGGAAGAACAAAUGUGUCAGUAACUAUGCACGGCGUGACGGUACCUAAUCAGAAAGCCACGGCUAACUACGUG